AGUCUUAUAGUUUAAAAAAAACGUUAAAUUGCAAAUUUAAAAUUGAACUUAAUCUAAGACUU
Molecule: transfer RNA, 62 nt
Filed under: Graphocephala sp. EMHAU-2015-Zz052315
Lineage: Eukaryota; Metazoa; Arthropoda; Insecta; Hemiptera; Cicadellidae
Description: tRNA-Cys
Source: RNAcentral